Molecule: non-coding RNA, 139 nt
Organism: Triticum aestivum (bread wheat)
Lineage: Eukaryota; Viridiplantae; Streptophyta; Magnoliopsida; Poales; Poaceae
Source: Rfam
AAGGUGGACGAGGAGGAUGUCAUCUCUCACAUCCUCACAGGACUAGACGAGGAGUUCGACCCCGUGGUGUCCGCCAUGUGCUCUAGGGUUGAGCCUGUCGGGGUUCCAGAGCUGUACUCGCAGCUCCUAAGCUUCGAGA